UACGUAGGCAGCAACGUUGUUCGGAGUUACUGGGCGUAAAGGGGUGUGUAGGCGGGUUCGUUUAAGUUUGACUUGUGGAAAUACUCCCCGGCUUAACCGGGAGGGGUGCGGUUGAAUACUGAGGGACUAGAGUACGGGAGAGGGAAAGUGGAAGUCCAACUGUGGUAGCGGGUAGAAAUGCGUAGAGAUGAUGGAGGAACACCAGUGGCGAAGGCGACUUUCUGGCCUAUAACUGACGCUGAGGCGACGGAAAGCGUGGGGAGCAAACAGG
This 271-nucleotide ribosomal RNA is filed under the name uncultured bacterium. RNAcentral describes it as "partial 16S ribosomal RNA". It matches the Rfam family "Bacterial small subunit ribosomal RNA", at positions 524 to 776 of the family's 1533-position model. The record is from RNAcentral.